UACUACACACAUCGAAGAGGUGGACCACAAGUACCUAUAUCUGGCCACUCGUUUAACGAUUGUGACAGAAAUUUUGGUACUAUUGAAAGAGCCCGCAGGAAUAUUGGAACAGAAAUAUUUGUGCCAGAGCACUGGAUGGAUGUAACUGCUAAAUCUUCCAAGAGAUUUUUAGUAGUUAACAUGGAAGAUCAGGAUUUUAUUUCUUUGCAGCCUUUGGAAGAUCAUUAUGUUAAGGCAGUGACAGGUAUUUGUUGUAUGCAAUGGUUAAAGUUUAAGAAGUCAGAUCCUGACACACUCUUCUACAAGACAACUUUCAAUACGGAUAUGCCUUUCUCUAAGUACAACAUGAAGCCUAAAGAGGUUCCAACUUAACGACUUCCACGACAACUAUCUGCCAAGAAUGCUGCACCAGGAAUAAAAGCAAGCAAGUACAAAGACUUGCAGAACUUGCUUCAGUUUAUCCCACCACAAUAUCAUGCCUUCUACAAGUCUUUGCCAGUUCAGCAGGUACGGCAACAACCUCGAAGGGGAGCGCCAGUGCCAACCAAUGAUGAUGUUGGUGAAAUCGAAGGAGAAGAUGGACCCGAGGAUGUUUUGGAAAGUGACUCUGACAUUGAAUAGUUAAUUUGCACAAUGUAGCAACUCUCAGAAGUUUUUUCAUGUAUAUCAAAGUUGUUUUUUCACUCUCUUUA
Hydra vulgaris (swiftwater hydra) is the source of this 692-nucleotide non-coding RNA. The record is from RefSeq and is a predicted model, not a curated record. Lineage: Eukaryota; Metazoa; Cnidaria; Hydrozoa; Anthoathecata; Hydridae.